This 495-nucleotide ribosomal RNA is filed under the name uncultured bacterium. RNAcentral's name for it is "partial 16S ribosomal RNA". It matches the Rfam family "Bacterial small subunit ribosomal RNA", at positions 28 to 507 of the family's 1533-position model. The record is from RNAcentral.
GAUGAACGCUGGCGGCGUGCCUAAUACAUGCAAGUCGAGCGAACAGACGAGGAGCUUGCUCCUCUGACGUUAGCGGCGGACGGGUGAGUAACACGUGGAUAACCUACCUAUAAGACUGGGAUAACUUCGGGAAACCGGAGCUAAUACCGGAUAAUAUAUUGAACCGCAUGGUUCAAUAGUGAAAGACGGUUUUGCUGUCACUUAUAGAUGGAUCCGCGCCGCAUUAGCUAGUUGGUAAGGUAACGGCUUACCAAGGCAACGAUGCGUAGCCGACCUGAGAGGGUGAUCGGCCACACUGGAACUGAGACACGGUCCAGACUCCUACGGGAGGCAGCAGUAGGGAAUCUUCCGCGAUGGGCGAAAGCCUGACGGAGCAACGCCGCGUGAGUGAUGAAGGUCUGGAUCGUAAAACUCUGUUAUUAGGGAAGAACAAAUGUGUAAGUAACUAUGCACGUCUUGACGGUACCUAAUCAGAAAGCCACGGCUAACUACGUG